This 21-nucleotide microRNA is filed under the name Medicago truncatula (barrel medic). Its description in RNAcentral is "mtr-miR2594". The record is from miRBase by way of RNAcentral. Lineage: Eukaryota; Viridiplantae; Streptophyta; Magnoliopsida; Fabales; Fabaceae.
CCAUGGCCAAGGAUGCCAGAG